AGGUUCUCUCUUGAUGACCUUUAUUGAAACCAAAAGGGUAACUGGAUGUUGCAAAAAGCAGAAAUGGAAUGUUAGUGCCACGUGGCACCACUCAGAGCCUCUACAACCUUAUCCCACAUCCAAAAAUCUGAUCCAUCUCAUCAUCCAAUAUCCAAAAAUCAGCCAUUUCCCUUCACAUACCCCAAAGACAAAUCACCCUAAGCGAUUUGCUGCUCAAUUUCCUCUUCCAUUGUUCUUUGGGUUAGUUUCAUCCUACUCCUGCAGGCAUAUCUGCAACUCAAGGGAUCAAAAAUGGCCUCCACUUCCUGCUUCUUGCACCACCAUGCACUCGCUACUCCUAAUAGAUUGUCUUCAUUGUCCCAGCAGCGUCAAGUGUCUAGCAACACCAAGCCUACCAACCAGUUCAUCUGUCGUUCUACCCACAAGCAGCCUCCACAGGAGGAGGAUGUUGCCCUUGUCUCCAGAAGAUUGGCUCUCACAGUACUCAUUGGUGCUGCAGCCAUUGGCUCCAAGGUUGCUCCUGCAGAUGCUGCCUAUGGUGAAGCUGCCAAUGUCUUUGGCAAGCCUAAAACAAACACAGACUUCUUGCCAUACAAUGGAGAUGGAUUCAAAUUGUCAAUUCCAUCAAAAUGGAACCCAAGCAGGGAGAGAGAGUUCCCAGGUCAGGUUCUUAGAUAUGAGGACAACUUUGAUCCCAACAGCAAUGUUUCUGUCAUUGUCACCCCAACUGAUAAGAAAUCCAUCACUGACUAUGGUUCCCCUGUAGAAUUUCUUGCCAAGGUGGAUUUUUUACUAGGAAAACAGGCUUACUUUGGCAAAACCGAGGCUGAGGGAGGUUUUGAUCCAAAUACCGUGGCAACAGCCAACGUAAUGGAGUCCUCAACCCCAACAAUCAAUGGGAAACAAUAUUACUUUUUGUCUGUGUUAACAAGGACUGCUGACGGAGACGAAGGUGGCAAGCAUCAACUGAUCACAGCAGCUGUGAAAGAUGGCAAGCUUUAUAUUUGCAAGGCACAAGCAGGAGAUAAGAGGUGGUUCAAAGGAGCAAGAAGGUUUAUAGAAAGCACGGCUAGUUCCUUUAGUGUUGCUUAAGGAUAUAACCAACGAACUUGUAUGUAAAUCAACUUUUAAUAAUCUAUGAUGUUUGUUUUUAGUCGUCUGUCUAGCCCUUCUUUUUAGGCAAAGUUUCAGAGGGAGGGAGUUGGACGGAGGAUGAUUGUGGAUACCAUAAUAUUUCUUUGAAUUACUUGUCAUGAGUUGAAAUAUUCCUUCUCUCUCAGUUUAUCUUCUUGCUGUUUCCAAGAAAAAUACCCAUAUUAGUUCUUUAAAAUAAUUUGAAAUUUGCAGGGAUAUGGUUCUAGGGAGAGUUUGAUUCUUGAUUUCUGCUAACAUAUCAGAUAUAUUUAGCAAUAUUAGCAAAAGG
This 1423-nucleotide unclassified non-coding RNA is filed under the name Hevea brasiliensis (rubber tree). Lineage: Eukaryota; Viridiplantae; Streptophyta; Magnoliopsida; Malpighiales; Euphorbiaceae. The record is from RNAcentral.